This 10023-nucleotide long non-coding RNA is filed under the name Zea mays. RNAcentral's name for it is "long non-coding RNA (ZMAY_LNC003222)". The record is from RNAcentral. Lineage: Eukaryota; Viridiplantae; Streptophyta; Magnoliopsida; Poales; Poaceae.
UUCAUUGCAACCGAAAUGCGCUGAUCCCGGGCAGAUCCACUCCUCUCGAUCCGACGAGCUCGCGCCCAACCUCCUUUGGCCUGAGGUUUAAAACUGCUCCCUCCCCUCGUCCAUCCUUCCGAUGCACGUCAAAGCCGCUGAUUAAGCCCACCGUCGAACCAUCGAUGGGGUGCAGGGGAGGGCAGUGUCUGCCAUUGGCGACUUCUGUCUAAACCACUAUGUAGGGCUCUAGGAUUGAUCAUGGUGAAGCGCCAUAUGUCGAGGAUCACGUGUGUCACGGUGGCAAGCAGGAUGGGUGGUCGGAGCUAGAGCAAUUGCUCGAUGGAGCAAUUGGCGCCGUCGUGGAUCGCACCGCACCGUGGCUGAGGGCCACCCCAACUUCACCCACUGGUAAGCCACAUCGAUCCAGACUGCUUGGAUUCCUGCCUUGCGUUGCACCGACCUCGAGAGGAAAUGGGGUAGUGGAGCGCGGUGGCGGGAUCACACCGUUGAAUCCGUCGCGGUGGAGCUACGGGCGCCACCCAGCGUUGUCCUUUGAGAAAGAAGAUGUCCUACGUCCUAGGGUCGUUGAUGAACGAAUCAAUGGAGUCGAUUAGAUCAGGUUUAAUAAAAGUGUGGGCAGUUGAAACCCAGAUGAGCGCAUGAUAUCACAUCUAUCAUACCCUUGGAUCUGGUGAUUGAGAUUGCAUGCCGAUUCGGACUCUAUUGUCAGCCCUUGGAUCGCGAUCUGGUGAACCAGAGCGCUUCACGGACAUAGCAGCACGGUAGUCUUCCAUAUGAGCACCUCGGCUUUUACAAAAUCAACCCGCAGUCCUUACACAUAUACGAAUUAUCGCAAAACAUUCCUGAAUUUUAGAAUUCAGACCCUAGACUUCCUAGGAAUAGCACCGGCCAUCCACAAGCUACCUAAAAAUACGAAAUAAAUAUAGAAAUACAAUUUUAAUAUGGAAAAGAUUCCAUAAGCUUAUUUAAUUCAUAACUUAUGCAUUUUAGCUCCGAUUUGAUCCACCUAAAUCGCGCUAGCUUCGUAAUAAAAUUGACUACACAAUAACAACACUAUUCGUAACAUAUCAUGAACCUUUAUCAAUAGAUAUAUAUUUAACUGGUGUUUAAUAGAUUAUCUUACUAAUCAAAGAUAAUAUGUCUAUAAUUAUUAUUUGACAAGAAAGGUGAUCUGUAGAUUAAAGUUAUAACUUAGAUUAAAGUUAAAAUGACUUAUUUCUUUAGAAUAUCUUUAUUACAUGAAUUAUAACCAAUAUAGAAUAUAGUUUCGUACUUAACCACAUAGAACUUCCAAAAACUAUACUUUUUUACCAUAACUCCAAAUUUAGUCGUUUUAGAACAUACGUUCUCGUAGCCGCACGUAGAAUAUUCUCACGCUGUUUGUUCUCAUGUUUGGUGUAAUUUUAUUUUUAUGUACUCCUUGUCUAUUUGUAUGUAUGCUACGCAUAGGAGUGAGGUCACGAGAUAUCUGAAGACCAACUUGGUGAAGUACCUAGAGAUCUUGAGUCUAAGGCAAGUUGUGCCCUUAAUCACUCCUUUUUACCUAAUAAUGUUGUUGGUCACUUGUUCUCAAAUGCUAUAAAUCAAGAACAAGGCAACACAAUUGUUAAUGGUUAAAGACCUUCGUCCUUCGAAGCAUUAUUUCCUCUCGGAUAUAACGAUCUUCACACGAAGGUCAUGACGAACAUCCUUCAUCAUUUCAUCAUAUAAAUAUAAAUAAGAAAGUAAAGGAAUACAUAUAAUAACAAUUAUUUAUCAAUAAUAUAUUUAUUUUUGUAUUCCAUAAACAUGAAUAAACAUCAAUAAUAUUCAUGUUACAUUGGUACCUUCGGCUUGGCGGAAGGUGAGGGUGCGAGAAUGACGCGAGAGUGGUUAUAAUCCAGCGUGAGCAAUACGAUGUUACUGUUCAUCUAUUUAUAGGCACGGGACGCAGCCCAGAUAAAAGUACAUUUAUGUCCCUAGAAACUAUCUAUAAUCUUAACAUGAAUUGUUAAGGACUGUAUGGUCUUUAUCCUCUUUCAGUCAUCAUCAUACAUGAGCUUCGUCAACAUGUCCAGCCGAAGUCCAUUGGCUUCCAGCUUCGUCGUCCAUUCUUUAUUUCCCUUCGUUCUGUCAUAAGAGAAGUCCUCCAUCCCAAAGUCGAAGCUUCUUGUAACUAUUCAUAAUCAUGCUAAAAACAUAUGGUUAGUCACGUUUUUUAGGACCUUUGGAAGAGGAAGACCUCCAACAGUAGCCCCUCGCAGUAUUAACUUGUUUCUUUGUAACAAAUUUAGACUGCGACGUGAACGCAUGCCUUUAGCCGAAGGUCUGAAAAAACACCUUCCCUUCGCUAGAAUAGCGAACGACACUGACAUGCCGGACCCACCAAAUCGUGGGGCGCUAGGCAUAUAAAUAGGAGGUCGUAUUGAAAGCAUUUCUUGUGCCAUUUUAAUGCUUACACUGUGCUCGCCAUUUUAAACUUUCUUGCUUUGUCGAGUUUUGAUCGGAUUUUAAGCUUCGGCAUUUCAACAAGCUUUGAUUUGAUGGCUGGCGAGAAGAAGACUAUCGACCCAGUGAUGUCCAAGUUUUACGAAGCUAUGGAAAGAACCAAUGCAGAAAAGAUUGCACAUGAGACACUAGCUGGGAUAUCUAAGGGUUCCAGUGAUAGUGAAGACUUUGGUGUACAAAGUGCGAAUGAGGGUGCCGAAGAUCGGUAUUGGAGACCAAGCCAUGUUGUCUUCAAGAAAUCAACCAUCGAACAAGGACAAAUUGAUGCAAUGAGGGAAGGUACUUCUGUGACAUUUCUAUUGUGAGGGCUGGAGGGGAGAAUUAUGUCCCUCUGCCCGAAGCUGACGAGGUGGUCGUUUAUAGAAGCUUCAUGAAAGCAGGGCUUCGGUUCCCUCUGGAUAAGAUGUUGGUCGAAGUCCUGAAAACUUUCGAAAUUUAUCUUCAUCAGCUUACUCCCGAAGCUAUCAUCAAGAUGGGGUUCUUUAUUUGGGCCAUGAGGAGCCAAGGGUUAGAACCAAAUGCAAAAUGCUUCUGCAACAUGCAUGAAUUGUCUUAUGAGAUGAAGGCCACCGAAAAAGAGCAAUAUCAUAACAACUUCGGUUGCUACAACUUCGUAACCUGCUCUGAGGUGAGCAACCUAGUUCCAACAUUUCGCAAGAGAUGACCGGGGGCCUGGAUGCAGGAGUGGUUCUAUGUGAAAAAUGAUCUGGUUGAAAGGGAAGACAUCAAGGGGGUUAUCCAACGUGCUUUAUGGUCUCACUUCGGCAUUAGGAGGCCAUCCCUUGCCCUUGGGAAUGACAUACAAGCAUGCCAAGCUGAUUUUAACACACUAUGCACUUACAUAGGUUCCAUGGACUUAGUUCAAUAACACAUUGCUUACAAAGUGUGGCCACUCAGAAGUGGGUGGGAGAUGCUGAAGGAGGCUGCUGCUCGGUCUAGCCAAGGUGGCUUAAUUUACUUGAAGUAUACGUUCAAAUACAUGAACCAAUUUGAUGAGCCAAACGACGAUAGGCUAGAUGCCAUUGAAGCAACCAGUGAUGAAUUGCUUGGUGCUUAUUCAAGGGCCGAAGAUGAUGCUAUGACAGCGGCCUUCGGGGGUCGAGGCAAAAAGAGGCUGAAUAGGGUUUUUGAUGUCAUCGGGUUCGUAUACCUAGAUUACUGUUAUCCUUCGCGAAAGCAAGGAAAGAAAAGAAAAGCUGCCACUUCAGCGAUCUCUAAUAUGCUGAAGCCGAAAAAAGUUAAGGUUUUAACACAUUGCCCCAAGCGCGCUGAAACGACCGAAGUGCCGAAGCCUAUUGAGGAGUCUACUUCUGCACGUGAGCCCGGCCACUCUACACCCGUCGAAACCAGAUCAGAACCGGCCGAAGAGCUAGGACUAAGGAAAUCGGUAGAGCAAUCGAAGGCUUUGAGUCUGUUGCAUGAGACGGAGCUACCGAAGGUAUCAAAGAUUGCUGCAAUAACUCCGAAGAGGAGGAGGAUGGCCAGCGUACUAGACGCUGUUAUCGAAUCUGUAAAGCUGUCGACUCCUGCCUCAGCACCUGAUGCAGAGGGUGAAGCCCUAAAGAAAUCUAGCGAAGCUAGCAUGGCGCAGGCUACUGUUGAAGCUGAACCGUCAGUCCCUGCUGAAGCAAGAUCUUUGGAGGCUACUGAAGAAGGUACUGAAACAAGACUUUCGGAGGCUGCCGGAGCACCAUUGAUGUUGGAAAAAGAAGGUGUUGCUGAAGAAUCUGAAUCUCCUGCCCUCGGAGCGCAUACCGAGGAAUUGGAAUUCAUAGUGCGACAUGCUUCAGGGAAAAAAUUAUCGAAGGAGCAAAUUGCCGAAGCGUAGCAUUAUGUCAGGGAUCUGAAGUACCCUCGAGGGUCCUUGGUGUAUAGUGUCAAUGACGAAGAUUACUUCCUUUGUUGUCUGCCAGACAAUAAGAAGAUUCAUGUCUGCCGAGAGAUGGCAGACAAUGUAGGACACCCGAAGCUUGAACUCGGCUUAUUUGCAAUGAUGAAGGACCAAGUCACAGAUAGCCUUGCCUAUAACAGUCUGAAGGUGAGAAUAUUUUAACUUGUUGCAAAACAAAUUAUUUUUGUAGCUUUUCUUAUCAUCAUGUGCUCAUCCUUUGUUUUUGUAGGGUUUAAUUCUGAGCAAGGCUUUAAAGGCCCAGAAGAACGCCGAAGAAGAAAAUUGCCAAUUAGCUCUUGGAAAUCAUCGAUCAGAGAUUAUCACACUAAGGAAUGAAGCACUUGAGAAAUACAAAAUAAUGUUCUCCUUAGUGAACAAACUUAAAACUUGCGAAUCCAAACUUAGUGCCCACGACGAAGCCCACAGAGCUGAAGUCGAAGAUUUGAAGAAAAAACUUUCAGAUAUGAAUGAAAAUUUCGAAGUUCCAAAGGCUAAGCAAAAUAAGUGAAAUGGAAAGGGCCAGGGUGCAGAAGAAUGUUGAAGAAGUUUGGGACUCCAAAGAAAGAUGCUACGAAACAUCCAUAGAAUGCGCGAAGAAACUGAAAGAUAGCUUUGCAAAAGAUGGGAGCAUACUCUUCGAAGCAAAAAUUUAUUUGUGGUGAUCCCGAAGGGGUUAUCAGUGGAUCGUCAAAGAGGCCGAAGCUUUUGAAGAAAUACUCAGCGAUCGUGGGGACUUCUGUGCCUUCGCCGGUGCAGGAAGGGUUGCAGCAAUUUUAGAGAAGGCUGGAUGUGCAUAUGUUAAGACAGUAGCCCAACCAGAGUUUGUUUUCUCAGUAUAUGACACCAAGGAUCCCUCAGCUGAAGCCUCUUUGCUAAGCGGAAUAUUUUACUAUGAUGUUUGGAUGAAGGGCGGUCGUGAAGUAGCUGAUGAAAUCAUUAAAAAGAGUGAAAAGGAAUCUCAUGACGCCCGAGAGGAGGAUAAGCGAGCUGAAGAAGCUGCUGAACGCGCCACGAUUAUAGGUACUUUUUAUUUAAAGCUUUUUUUCAUUGUUCAUUUCUAGCUUCGAAAUUCAUCAUCAAAUACUUUAUUACAGUCAACCUUUCUCCACCACCGGAGCCGAACAACCCCGAAGCUGACCCAGUUAUGAAAGAAGCUUUAGAUGUAAUGAAGGUUGCCAAUGAAGUCGUUGACGAAGUCGUCGACAGACUAUUACAUUAAGCCGUUGAGAAAAUACUAAACGGAGAUUAAAUUCUUGUAUGCUGGAAAGUGUAAUGCUUGUGCAUGGUUGUCGUCAUGUGUAUGGAACAAACAUCAAAUAUUUGUAUGUACAUUAAUGUAAUAUAUCUCUUUGUGAUGCAUGAAACCUACGUACGUACCAUUUUUGAGCCUUUGGCGAAAAAACACCUUCCCUUCUUUUCAUGCUUCGCAAAGAAAAUUUCCUUAUGGCACUGUUGAUGAAGGUUCGCUUCGUGUGGUACAAUAUAUCUGCCAAAUGUAUAUGUUGUGGUAUAGCACAUUUUUUUGUGAUUCGACAAGUAUUUUUGAAGGAGCAAUUUCCCCUCUUCUCCACAGCUUUUUGCCGAUGCGAUGCUAUGAUAUGAUGUGAUGCUAUGCGAUAUGAUAUGAUGAUAUGAUGCAAAAUGAUGUUUAUGCCGAAGAUAAAAACCCGCACGAAUACACAACCAGACUCUGCAUCCCCUUAGGAACGACUUUGGAGUCUCUUCACCUUUUACUUAGGUGGUAUUUCAGCUCUGCAUUCCCUUAGGAACGACUUUGGAGCUAAGCUCUGCAUCCCCUUAGGAACGACUUUGGAGCUUCUUCACCUUUUAGUUAGGUGGCAUUUAAGCUCUGCAUCCCCUUAGGAACGACUUUGGAGCUUCUUCACCUUUUAUUUAGGUGGCAUAUUGGCUCUGCAUUCCCUUAGGAAUGAAUUUUGAGCUUUGGAACUUACUCUGCGCCCCCUUAGGAACGACUUUGGAGCUAUGGAACUUACUCUGCGCUCCCUUAAGAACGUCUUUGGAGCUCCAAAACUUGCUCUUAUCACACUCGAAGGUGUAACCAUAAGUUUAUUACAUCAUGUUGAAGGUUAAACCUUCCUGUAUUGUCUUUUGCCACAAAAAUAUAAAAAAUAGUAGAAAUAAAACACAUCAGGAUUUUCUUCUAGCCAAAACAUUGUGACAUCUUCAGUAGAUGUGUCUAGAUUCGGGCAUAAUGCUAUUAACUGUGCGAGCCUCAGACUACUCCCGAAGAUCAUGUUGUUGUUGAGACCGAAGGUACCGUUUUGGCUGUUGACCAUGGUUUUGGAUAGGCGCCAUUGGUGGUGGUGGUGGCAACUGAGCUCAGGAAGCUUGGGAAUGACUGGCCGAAGCAACAGAGGUCGUGGGAUGUUGGUUGCCCACAUACUCUGGGAUAUACGGGGAGUAACACGAAGCAGUAUCCAGGACCUGCUUCGGCUGAUUCUGCCAUGCUUCGGCUUCAACGAUUUCCUUAUGUUUCUGGAUUAUUACCUAGCACGUCCUUGUGGUAUGCCCCUUAUCUUCACCGCAGAAUAAGCAAAACAGUCUCCUAGGCUGAUUUCCAAAUCUUCCUCUGAAGCUUCUCCCCCCUCUACCUCUUAGAGUCGGUGGCCUGAAAGAGCUUUGUUGUGCUCCUGAUGAUUGAGAGCUGUGUUGCUGCCCUUGGGUAGGAUUUCCCCUGUCGCCGCUUGAGUUGGGAUUAUGGAUCGACCUGACAUGCCUAGGGUGGAGUCUUCCUCCGAAGCUCCUAGUCAUCUCAAAGUAUCUGUCAGCUUCUUCACUUCUUUGCCGAAAAUCAUUGUUAGCUCGGAUGUAUUCAUCCAUCUUCUGGAGGAGCUUCUCCAAUGUUUGUGGUGGCUUUAUUGCAAAGUAUUGUGCUGUAGGUCUUGGCCAGAGCCCCUUGAUCAUGGCCUCAAUGACGAUUUCAUUGGGCACUGUAGGCACUUGAGCUCUCAGUCGCAAGAACCUUUGGACAUAUGCCUGCAGGUACUCCUCAUGGUCCUGCGUGCACUGAAACAAAGCCUGAGCAGUGACUAGCUUCGUCUGGAAGCCCUGAAAGCUGGUGACUAGCAUGUCCUUCAGCUUCUGCCAUGAGGUAAUUGUUCUUGGCUGAAGAGAGGAAUACCAUGUCUGAGCCACACUUCUAACUGCCAUGACGAAGGAUUUCGCCAUGACAGCAGUGUUGCCCCCAUACGAGGAUAUGGUGGCCUCGUAACUCAUCAAGAACUGCUUCGGAUCUAAAUGCCCAUUGUACAUGGGGAGCUGAGGUGGCUUGUAUGAUGGUGGCCAUGGGGUAGCCUGCAAUUCUGCUGCCAGGGGAGAAGCUUCAUCAAAAGUAAAGUUAUCAUGAAGGAAGUCGUCGUACCAUUCGUCUUUGUUGAAUGGGUUUUCCUGACGAAGCUCCCUGUGCUAAGGCCUUUGGUCUUGGUCAUCUUGAGUAAGAUGACACAUCUCCUCAGUGGCUUCGUAUAUCUUCUUCUGGAGGUCGGCCAGCCAGAGCAUCUUCUCCUUUUUCCUUUGUACUUGUUGAUGGAUGGCCUCCAGAUCCCUGAUCUCUUGGUCUAGCUCCUCCUCUUGAAGUGUUUGGCUGGUGGCUUUUCUCUUCUGAGUCCUAGCUUCUCGGAGGGGGAGCGUCUUCUGUUUUGUGUCCAGUGGCUGCAGUGCAGCCCCUGGCGCUGUUGUCUUCUUCGGCAGCAUGACGAAGGUGGAUGCUUGCCGAAGGUGGUCGUUCGAGUUCACCGGAGGUGGGCGCCAAUAUUGGUCACUUGUUCUCAAAUGCUAUAUAAAUCAAGAACCAGGCAACACAAUUGUUAAUGGUUAAAGACCUUCGUCCUUCGAAGCAUUAUUUCCUCUCGGAUAUAAUGAUCUUCAGACGAAGGUCAUGAAGGACAUACCUUCAUCAUUUCAGCAUAUAAAUAUAAAUAAGAAAGUAAAGGAAUACAAAGGAAUACAAAUAAUAACAAUUAUGUAUCAGUAAUCUAUUUAUUUUUGUAUUCCAUAAACAUCAAUAAUAUUCAUGUUACAUUGGUACGUUCGGCUUGGCAGAAGGUGAGGGUGCGAGAAUGACGCAAGAGUGGUUACAAUCUAGCGUGAACAGUACGAUGUUAAUGUUCAUCUAUUUAUAGGCACGAGAUGCAUCCCAAAUAAAAGUACAUUUAUGUCCCUAGCAACUAUCUAUAAUCUUAACAUGAAUUGUUAAUGAUUGUAUGGUCUUUAUCCUCUUUCAAUCAUCAUCAUACUUGAGCUUCAUCAACAUGUCCAGCCGAAGUCCUUUGGCUUUUAGCUUUGUCGUCCAUUCUUUAUUUCCCUUCGUUCUGUCAUAGAGAAGUCCUCCAUCCCAAAGCCGAAGCUUCUUGUAACUAUUCAUAAUCAUGCUGAAAACAUAUGGUUGUCAUGUUUUUGAGGACCUUCGGAAGAGUAAGGCCCCCAACAAAUGUUCGCUGUUAAUCACUGUGACAUGCUCAGGUUAAUUUGAUGGGACCUAAUAGAUUUCCCUAGCUUAGUUUAUCCCUCACCUUGCAGACACAUGAAUUAUUGGGUAGAUUUGCUAUUGCUCUACCUAGUUUUGGGAAGCUAUUGUUUUAUUAUGAUCAUUUUCCAAUGAUGAUGUUGUCUAAUUAUUGUUCGUGAUAAGAUCAUAUUGUUAAUUGGAACAUGGAGCGACCACCCGAGAAAAUAGUGCUACCACAAGGGUGGUAUGGGACGUCCUUGGCUGACUAAUUAGGAAAGCUAGUGGAGGACUACCUUACCCGAAAGAGGCAAGGGCAGUAGGGGAGUGGUCGGUGUAGGGAGGUUCUCGGGCUGAUUUUUCUGUGGUGGCGGUCAUACGAGGGAUCCCUGCAUUGGGGCUUCCUAGAAACUGUAGCGGGUUUUCUGAAGCUAGUGGAACUUUGUAAAGGCCUCGUAGUGGUACCCUGCCUCGCUUCCUUGGUAGAGGUGUAUGGGGUCCGAUCAAUCUCGUGGCAAAUGGGUAACACGACUUGUGGGUAAAGAUGCGCAACCUCUGCAGAGUGUAAAACUGGUAUAUCAGCCAUGCUCACGGUCAUGAGCGGCUCGGACCCUCACAUGAGUAAUUUAUGGAACUAAACUUAAUUUGUCAUAUGCAUUGCAUUGUGGGUGUUGAUAUUAACUUGAUCUCUUACUUAUUUGGUUUGGUAUCUACUGACACUUAGUAACUGCUAAUAAAUUUUUGACCAACUUUAAAAGUAAUGUUCAGCUUUAACCAUCUCUUUUGGUAAGCCUUACACUUCACAUGAGCUCCCACCUUUGGUGAGUUCAUGCACAUUAUUCCCCACAACUUGUCGAGCGAUGAACAUAUGUGAGCUCACCCUUGCUGUACUCACAUCCCCCAGGUCAAGAACAGGUACCGCAGGAUGAGACGGAUGGGGGAUGCUGUGAUGAGUUCGUGAGAGGUCUAGGUCGUCGUCUCCCAAUCAACUUUGGGUUGAUGGAUCGUGGUCUCCAUAUGAUGUAAUUAUUUGUUUAUUUUGUACAGAACUCCAUUAUAUAUAAAUGAUGUAACAUUCAUUUCUGUACCAUGAGUCAUCAUAUGUAUGAGACUUGGUCCCAGUACACUUGGUGAUUAUGUUCACGCCCGGGUCUUAGGACCCUGAAACCCGGUUGUG